Salvia splendens (bonfire salvia) is the source of this 833-nucleotide long non-coding RNA. RefSeq lists it as uncharacterized. The record is from RefSeq and is a predicted model, not a curated record. The transcript is spliced from 2 exons. NCBI's taxonomy places the organism in Eukaryota, Viridiplantae, Streptophyta, Magnoliopsida, Lamiales, Lamiaceae.
UGUUGCCUGAUUCUUGUGUUCAUGUUUUGCUUUCUCCCAUUAUAGAGGAAUUGAUUUUUGCCUUAUUAUUGUGUUCAUAUUGUUCUCUUCUCAUUCAAGAUUAGUCCUUUGUUUCUGUCAAGCUUCUCCAACAACAAAGUCAAAUCUAGAGUGUGGGAAAUAGUUAGAAGAUCUGAGACCUAACAUUCAAACACGACACAUGGACAAAUAGCGAGCCACUUCGAUUAUUUGGAAAAUCAUCUAUUGCUAAAAUGUGCAGGAUGAGGUACUAGUCAGGAGGAAAGGGUCGGAAAAAAUUCAAGUGAAAAGAACGCAGGAAGGGUAUUAUACUGACCAGGAUGCAUGCCAUAAAGCUUGAGCACAAGAUGGAGUGGAUUGCUAUAAAUGAUCAUCUAUCUAGAAGGAGCAGAAUUGUAAACUCAAGAGAAUUAGCAACCUUAGGGAUUGGGGCAGGCCUCCCUAUAAAUAGAAGAUCAACAUUGAAGAAACUUUGUUCAUGCUUAUACCAUUAUUUAGAUAGCUAUACUGCAUUUCUUAGAUAAACUUUACUGCAUUCUCUUAGCAUAGCGUAGCUAGUGUUCACUUGAAGUUGUUGGCCACCUGCCGGGAGAGGGAGUCUACCAUCCAUCCAGCCAGCCCACCACCGCAGUUACAGAAUUUCAUCCAGCUUCUGUGGAGCACAACACCCCUUUAUAUGUUUUCCUUUAAUGUUUUCUUAGUUUAAAUACUUGUUUUUACAUGCACUUGCCUUAGAUUUCAGUAGCUGCUUAGUUAAAAACAUCUUUUGGUUUGAAUAUCUUGAGUGCAAUGAAGUUUAUUAUAGUUUUAUUUUA